GAUGAACGCUGGCGGCGUGCCUAACACAUGCCAGUCGAGCGAUUCUCUUCGGAGAAGAGCGGCGGACGGGUGAGUAACGCGUGGGUAACCUGCCCUGUACACACGGAUAACAUACCGAAAGGUAUGCUAAUACGAGAUAAUAUGCUUUUAUCGCAUGGUAGAAGUAUCAAAGCUUUUGCGGUACAGGAUGGACCCGCGUCUGAUUAGCUAGUUGGUAAGGUAACGGCUUACCAAGGCGACGAUCAGUAGCCGACCUGAGAGGGUGAUCGGCCACAUUGGAACUGAGACACGGUCCAAACUCCUACGGGAGGCAGCAGUGGGGAAUAUUGCACAAUGGGCGAAAGCCUGAUGCAGCAACGCCGCGUGAGCGAUGAAGGCCUUCGGGUCGUAAAGUUCUGUCCUCAAGGAAGAUAAUGACGGUACUUGAGGAGGAAGCCCCGGCUAACUACGUG
This 452-nucleotide ribosomal RNA is filed under the name uncultured bacterium. RNAcentral describes it as "partial 16S ribosomal RNA". It matches the Rfam family "Bacterial small subunit ribosomal RNA", at positions 28 to 507 of the family's 1533-position model. The record is from RNAcentral.